This 371-nucleotide transfer-messenger RNA is filed under the name Cellulosimicrobium funkei. It matches the Rfam family "transfer-messenger RNA". Rfam says of the family: Bacterial tmRNA, also known as 10Sa RNA or SsrA, is named for its dual tRNA and mRNA-like properties. Its role is to liberate the mRNA from a stalled ribosome. Lineage: Bacteria; Bacillati; Actinomycetota; Actinomycetes; Micrococcales; Promicromonosporaceae. The record is from RNAcentral.
GGGGAUGAUCGGUUUCGACGAUGUGAGUCGCGACAGGGGAAGCGGGCCGAGGAUGCAGAGUCAUCUCGUCAACGCUCUCUGCAAACCAACAAGUGCCGAAUCUAAGCGCACUGACUUCGCUCUCGCUGCCUGAUCAGUGAACGAGUCCGUCAGCCCGGGGAUGCUAUCGCCCCGGAUCCUGGCGUCAACUAGAUAGCCACUGUCCACCACCCUCGCCGGGGGUCGUGGUGGAGACCUUAAUCCGGCUGGGCCCGGGUUGGCUGCCUGUGUGCGGGACAGCCAGGGCCGAGUAACACCCACAGCACACUGCGCCCGGAGAAGACCUGGCAACACUGCAUCGGACGCGGGUUCAAUUCCCGCCAUCUCCACCA